UAAAGCCUUGAUACCAAAAUUGGGAAA
Molecule: non-coding RNA, 27 nt
Filed under: Homo sapiens (human)
Lineage: Eukaryota; Metazoa; Chordata; Mammalia; Primates; Hominidae
Source: RNAcentral